GGCUCAGGAUGAACGCGGGCGGCGUGCCUAAUACAUGCAAGUCGAACGGAGACAGCAGCAAUGGUGUCUUAGUGGCGAACGGGUGAGUAACGCGUUGGUGACCUGCCUCAGAGAGAGGGAUAACAGUUCGAAAGGACUGCUAAAACCGCAUGAGCUUGUCGGGCUUAGAAACCGAUAAGGAAACAGCGAAAGCUGCUCUGAGAGGGGCCUGCGUCCCAUCAGCUAGUUGGCAGGGUAACAGCCUACCAAGGCGAUGACGGGUAGGGGACCUGAGAGGGUGACCCCCCACAAUGGAACUGAAACACGGUCCAUACACCUACGGGUGGCAGCAGUAGGGAAUAUUGGUGAAUGGGCGAAAGCCCGACCCAGCAACGCCGCGUGUGCGAAGAAGGCCUUCGGGUUGUAAAGCACUUUUUAGCGGGAAGAGGAAGGACGGUACCGCUAGAAUAAGUCUCGGCUAACUACGUGCCAGCAGCCGCGGUAACACGUAGGAGACGAGCGUUAUCCGGAUUUACUGGGUGUAAAGCGCGUGUAGGCGGUCGAGUAAGUUGGAUGUGAAAGCUCCCGGCUCAACUGGGAGAGGUCGUUCAAUACUGCUUGGCUAGAGGACAGCAGAGGGGAGUGGAAUUCCGAGUGUAGCGGUAAAAUGCAUAGAUAUUCGGAAGAACACCAGUGGCGAAGGCGGCUCUCUGGGCUGGUCCUGACGCUCAGACGCGAAAGCUAGGGUAGCAAACGGGAUUAGAGACCCCGGUAGUCCUAGCCGUAAACGAUGUGGACUUGGCGUUGGAGGGUUUAAAUCCUUCAGUGCCGCAGCAAACGCGAUAAGUCCACCACCUGGGGACUACGGCCGCAAGGUUAAAACUCAAAG
This 868-nucleotide ribosomal RNA is filed under the name uncultured bacterium. RNAcentral's name for it is "bacterial SSU rRNA". It matches the Rfam family "Bacterial small subunit ribosomal RNA", at positions 21 to 906 of the family's 1533-position model. The record is from RNAcentral.